This 69-nucleotide transfer RNA is filed under the name Ictidomys tridecemlineatus (thirteen-lined ground squirrel). RNAcentral describes it as "Spermophilus tridecemlineatus (thirteen-lined ground squirrel) tRNA". It matches the Rfam family "tRNA". From Rfam's summary of the family: Transfer RNA (tRNA) molecules are approximately 80 nucleotides in length. Their secondary structure includes four short double-helical elements and three loops (D, anti-codon, and T loops). Lineage: Eukaryota; Metazoa; Chordata; Mammalia; Rodentia; Sciuridae. The record is from Rfam by way of RNAcentral.
GGGGAUGUGGCUCAGCGGUAGAGCACUCACCUUGCACGUGUGUGGCCCUUGGUUCAAUCCUCAGCACCA